This 460-nucleotide ribosomal RNA is filed under the name uncultured bacterium. RNAcentral's name for it is "partial 16S ribosomal RNA". It matches the Rfam family "Bacterial small subunit ribosomal RNA", at positions 338 to 795 of the family's 1533-position model. The record is from RNAcentral.
CCUACGGGUGGCAGCAGUGAGGAAUAUUGGUCAAUGGACGAGAGUCUGAACCAGCCAAGUAGCGUGAAGGAUGAAUGUCCAACGUGUUGUAAACUUCUUUUGUAUGGGAAUAAAGCAGGGUACUCAUACCCGCUUGUGUGUACCAUAUGAAUAAGCAUCGGCUAACUCCGUGCCAGCAGCCGCGGUAAUACGGAGGAUUCGAGCGUUAUCCGGAUUUAUUGGGUUUAAAGGGUGCGCAGGCGGCGAUGCAAGUCAGGGGUGAAAGCCCGGGGCCCAACCCCCGGACUGCGUUUGGAACUGGGUGGCUAGAGUGGAGGAGAGGCACGCGGAAUGCGCGGUGUAGCGGUGAAAUGCGUAGAUAUCACGCGGAACACCGGUGGCGAAGGCGGCCUGCCGGCCUGAAACUGACGUUGAGGCACGAAAGCGUGGGGAUCGAACAGGAUUAGAUACCCUAGUAGUC